AGAACUGGAUUAUUGUGCCUAAUAUUGGAGACCUGCGACAGAGAAUCUUGAAGGAAGCUCAUAAGAGCGGGUUUUCAAUUCAUCCAGGGAGUACUAAAAUGUAUCAGGAUCUGAAAGCGAUGUUCUGGUGGCCAGGGAUGAAGAAUGAUGUGGCAUUACAUGUAUCUAAAUGUUUAACGUGUCAGAAGGUUAAGAUUGAGCAUCAGAGACCAUCAGGGACCCUUCAGCCUUUAGAGAUUCCACAAUGGAAAUGGGAGAGUAUCGCAAUGGACUUUGUGAUAGGUUUGCCUAGGACCCGAUCUGGUUGUGACGCUAUUUGGGUGGUUGUGGACCGAUUGACGAAAUUAGCUCAUUUUCUUCCUAUCCGAAUAAGUUGCACAAUGGAAGAAUUAGCUCGAAUGUAUAUUAAAGAGAUUGUCAGGUUGCAUGGCGUGCCUUCUACCAUUAUAUCUGACAGGGAUCCUCGGUUUACAUCAAGGUUCUGGGGAGCUUUUCAACGUGCAUUUGGAACUCAGCUAAGCUUGAGUACUGCGUAUCACCCUCAGACAGAUGGUCAGUCAGAAAGAACUAUUCAGACCUUGGAGGAUAUGCUAAGGGCUUGUGUUUUGGAUCAGCCUGCGAGUUGGGAUCGGUAUAUGCCAUUAAUUGAGUUUGCUUAUAAUAAUAGCUAUCAUGCGAGCAUCGGAAUGGCUCCAUAUGAGGCUCUGUAUGGCAGAAAAUGUCAGUCUCCACUAUGUUGGUAUGAAACUGGAGAAAGGAGUUUGUUAGGGCCUGAGAUGAUAGCUGAAACUACUGAAUAGAUAAAGAAAAUUCGUAGUCGAAUGCUUAUAGCCCAAAGCCGCCAGAAGAGCUAUGCUGAUCAAAGGCGGAAGCCUUUGGAAUUGGAAGAAGGAGAACAUGUCUUUCUGAAAGUUACACCAACCACUGGAGUGGGAAGAGCUAUUAAGACUAAGAAGCUGAAUCCCCGUUAUAUUGGACCAUUUGAGAUCCUGAAGAGAAUUGGGCCAGUGGCUUAUAGAAUCACCUUACCGCCAUAUCUUUCGAAUUUGCACAACGUGUUCCAUGCAUCACAGCUUAGGAAGUACACUCCUGAUGCAAGUCAUGUUCUAGAACCAGAACCAAUCCAAGUAAGAGAAGAUCUAACACUUCCAGUAAUCCCAGUGAGAAUUGAUGAUACUAAUAUUAAACGAUUACGCGGAAAGGAAGUGUCAUUGGUAAAAGUAGCUUGGAGUCGAGCUGGGAUCGAAGAACAUACUUGGGAACUCAAAUCAGAUAUGCAAAAGGACUACCCACAUCUCUUUUCAGGUAACUGAAUUUGAAUUUUGAGGGCAAAAUUCUUUGUUAGGUGGGUAGAAUGUAAACCCCGAUUAAUUAGUAGAUAAUUAGUUAAUAAAUUAGUUUUUAAUAAGGAGGAUUAGAAAUGUGAAUAUUAUAUCAAAUUAGGACAGAGCUCAUCGAAACGAGAAUUUUGACACCAAUUUCGAAGAAAACGGUCCAAAAUUGGACCGAACGGGCCGGACCGGUUGAACCGGACCCAAACCGGGCCCGUGGGCCCAACCGGCCAGCAUUUAAAUGAGCCUAAAAGCUCAUUUCUCUUCAUUAACGUAACAGAAGCAGCAACGCUCCCAGGGAGGAAGAGAACGCCAAACCUAACGGCAACCUUCAACAUGCCGUAACUCCUCCGUCCGAACUCCGAUCGCCGCACCGUUUGCGGCCACGCGUUCACCGCGUCGAGCUCUACGUUUCUACCGGAACAAUUUCAUAGGAUCCAAUUAGCUUGAGAGAAACGUUCACUCUUGCUUAUGUGAAGCUUGGGUAAGGUUGUGAAUAAAUAAUUGGAGCUUGAAAUUGUGAAUAUUGGAACUUGGAGGAAGCUGAUUAGUUGAAUUUUGAAGGGGCUGCCUUGGUUUUAAAUAAUUUGCUUUGGUCGUUACGGGGAAAUCGGCCAAGAUGCAGGUCGAGAGGCAUCUCGUUAGGCGUCUGGACUCUUGAGGCGGAGUGGUUACUGGGAUAUUUUGUUAUGCUAUGAUGUAUAUAUAUGUACUUAGCUUUCUCUCCGCAUGACUUAUUCUUUUUUAUCCUCUUAGAGGUUUAUGGAGAGGCAGGAUUGUGUAUAUGUACUUUUGGGUUUUUGAUAUGUAUGUAUAUAUGUGUAAAUAUUCUCCGGCCAGUCUUGACUUCGCAGGCUGAGUUAGGAGCUUGUUAUUUUGUAUCUUUGGUAUUCUA
Arachis stenosperma is the source of this 2226-nucleotide long non-coding RNA. RefSeq lists it as uncharacterized. NCBI's taxonomy places the organism in Eukaryota, Viridiplantae, Streptophyta, Magnoliopsida, Fabales, Fabaceae. The record is from RefSeq and is a predicted model, not a curated record. The transcript has 4 exons.